UUUUAAUGAUGAGUCUAACUAGCUCACUUUGAGAGAUCAAGUCAUGAAAAGGUUUGAACAACUGAAAAAC
Molecule: small nucleolar RNA, 70 nt
Organism: Hemicordylus capensis (graceful crag lizard)
Lineage: Eukaryota; Metazoa; Chordata; Lepidosauria; Squamata; Cordylidae
Source: RefSeq, a predicted model, not a curated record